AUUCCGAACCCGCUCUCUUGCUUCUGGAAUGUGACAUGUUGCUGCUACUGCUAUCGAUGUACUGUACAACGAACGGCAUUUGUAUCCCAUGAUAAACCGUCAGUACCACAAAACUCCUUAGAGGUUUCUACACAAAGCUCCAUCCUCGGGGAUGCCUGAUGGUAUUUUCCAUUGUAAAAUUAUAUCUACUCCUCUUACACAUUUUUGUUGCUACAGAGACUGCGCUCCUCAUUAGUUUAGAUUCCAUCUCGACAAGGAAUUGCAAACUGAAACUGAAACAAGCAUUUUUGGGGGGGGGGGUUUGUUGAGGCGCAACUUGAUUGUUCAGUGUAAUAUUCUUCGGCGCAAUCCCGAAGUAACCGUUUCUAUUCAUCCCGCCUGUGCUUACUUGUACGGUACACACAGAAUCCACCAAACAUGAGACAACACACUCGGGGAGCAUGCGUGCCUGCAUGUGGUACUGCAUAGCCGAUGCGUGUGGUGGAAGAAACUGCCCCUUAUAACCGAACCUACAGCAUUGCUACGAAAGUUAGAAUAGUGGACGAGUUAAAUAAAAUAAUAGCAAAACACAGAA
Molecule: small RNA, 574 nt
Filed under: Histoplasma capsulatum
Lineage: Eukaryota; Fungi; Ascomycota; Eurotiomycetes; Onygenales; Ajellomycetaceae
Also listed under: 1 other name
Description: hypothetical RNA
Source: RNAcentral